Molecule: long non-coding RNA, 2565 nt
Organism: Phoenix dactylifera (date palm)
Lineage: Eukaryota; Viridiplantae; Streptophyta; Magnoliopsida; Arecales; Arecaceae
Source: RefSeq, a predicted model, not a curated record
CGCCGAUCAAACGACCUCAGGGUCCCAGAUUUGAUGUACACCCGGCACACGCUAAAUUCAUUCCUUAGCUGCACAACCGAAAAGAAAAGAAUUGAAAAGAGGCACAUCUGAAGAUCGAGGAGGUGAAGGAUCUCACGGGGGAGCUGCUCUGGGUCAUAGCUGUACACGCCGACGACGGGUAUGUAGCGUUCCAUCUCCUUCAGCCUCUUGUUCUCUAGCUUGUUUCGCAGAUAGAAACCAAGUAGCUCUUCUUCCGUUGGGUAGAACCGAAGGCCGGGAGGCUGAUCAGUCAUUUCCUCUCUUUCUUAUGCGAUUACUCCUCUCUCUCUCCCCUUCCUUUCCUCCUUUCCUCUUUGGAACUUCUUUGUGCAGCGUCUGCACAGCCAACAAGAUGAAGGAAGCUGUUGUUUAUAUAACGAGAGUGGGUGCAAGAUGUAUAUAUAUAUGUAUAUAGAAGGGACUUUGCAAAGAAAUGGGGUGAGAAACGGUGCAAUAUUGCUCAAUAUAUAUAUAUAUAUAGAGAGAGAGAGGAACUAUAGAUGGAGGAGGUGUGGGGCUGCUUCUUUGAAAGUUGAAUCCCUCUGGGAGAAGAGACCUGUGGGAAACCAAGGAGAAAGAGAUGAAAGAGAUCAGUCAAUCACACCUCCCUCCAUCCCCCUCCUUCCGAACGUAUAGUGGUGUUUUUUGUCCUGGGGUGAGGAAAGCCAACCCGUAGCCACCAUAUAUAGCUUAUAUUUGACGUAGAACAAAAUUUCAUCUUGUCUGUGUGAACGUAAACCCCGAGAUCUUAACUUGUUUCAGGUAACGAGAUUUUGACCUAGAAGUAAUCCGACGUACGGUCCUUAUGUGGGCAACAUGGAUGCAUGAACACAGUAGGAAGAAUAUCGAACGUACUGCAAAGUUUUAGCACGCACUUAGGAAUUCAAAUCCUUACUGUAAAUAUGAACGCUUGACUACAUUAGCGGGAAGAUGGAACGUGGUCUUCAAAACCUUGGUUCAGGUCGCCGUGGAGCCUCCUGUUAUUACCCUUAAAAGUUGCUUGACCUUGAAGUCAUGGGAGGUUCGGCCACCUUUUAUUGAAUCAAUGCAAGUUUCGUAUCCUCGUUUAACAAAUUCAUCAAGAGUUACAUUUUUUUUAAAAAAAAAUAUCGAUUCAAUGGUAAUCUUUGUUCCAUAGAAUGAUUUGAUUUUGCAUGCGUAAGUUCAUCGUUGCAGAGUAAAUAGUAACUAUAUACAAAGAGGUGGUUGACUUAAUUAAAUUUCAUGCAUCCAAAGUCCAUAAACUAUGCAAUUAAAGCCAACGGAAGAAUGCAUAUCUAAGUAAGAAGUAGUUACUUGGAAAGAGCCCUUUAAUUUUAUGAGAUGACAUGAAAGGAUUUCCAUCUUAAUUUGCAGCUUCAUCCAAUUUAUUUAGAUAAACUAGUGAAAGCAGAAGUCAAGUCCAAGUUACUAGCACCUUAUAACUCUAGGGAUUUUACCAAUUGAGCCAAUUAGGAACCAGAUCGGAAGCCUCUUUGAUCACUGCAGGUAUGGUUUAUCUCCAGUAAUAAAUACAAAAUGGAUUGCAUUAUCAUAAGAAAUAGAUAGAUAAUAACCAUGGUUUUCAUGAUAGAUGAUAUAGAUAGUCUCAUACUUCAUCCUCACCUAAAAUUGCAGGACACACGCAUAUCUUGUAGCUCAAAUGGGACCCAAAGAUCUACACAUAUGCGAUAGGGUAGUCACUAUAGCUAGGAUGAUAUAUGUGUCUACGUGCCUUAAUUUUCAAGAUAGAGCAACAAUUGAUUGCUACAUUAAUUGGCACUCAUUUCAUGUGAUCCAAAUGGAGAUAAGAAACAAAUUCCUUUAACUCGGACCUUGCAAAUUAGUAAGUGCAACCCUGCAAAGCCAGCAAUAUAUAUAUAUAUUAGAUAUUACUUCAACAAUGAAUUGUAAAUGUAUCGAAAGGUUUACCUCAAAAAUGACCAAAUCUCGAGAUUUAAUUGUUCACGGUCAUAUGUAAUAUAUAUGGCAACAUGUCAAUAAAACCAACUAGGGCAAUUCACGUCAAGUAUGGUGAUCUUUCUGAAUCAUCAUGUUUGUUACCUUAUAUCAAAUACAGAUUUUUUAGAAAUUGAAUUUGGCAUUAGUGGCUCCUUGGGCUAGGGAUUUUGUAAGAUCUCAUGCUCAUUGCAAUAUUUGAUGGUUUGUGUAUGGCACUAUCUCACUAGUUCUAUAUCAUGCAAUGAGAAUGUAUAACAGUAUAGGGUGCCUCAUUAUGUGCAUAUGCUUGUGUAGUUAUCGACUCGUACAUCACACGCCAGGUGCACCUUGAUAGCAUUAGCUCAAAAUUCCCAUGGACCCACCACCCAAAUUAUGAGCCUCUUCGUUGCAUCUCACUGAGGUUGCUGAAGUGGUUAAUUAAUGUUUUAAUUCUAUUCACGUCUCCAUUUCAAUUUAUCUUGUUGGAAAACUUAGAAGACAGAGGCCAAGUAGAUCAAAGUCAACAAGAAGGGGAGGAUUCGCGUGACGUGCGACAACCGCGUUCUCUUUCUCGACCAGAUGAUUGAUUCAAUUCAACGUUUGGAG